CUAGGGCUGCUGCGGGCCACUGGGCGCUGGCUGCUCCCGCUCGCCUCUUGGGGUGCGCUCAGCUCCAGCCCAACUCCGCCAACUCCGCCAGCUCCAGCAUCGCUCCAGCCCGAUUCCAGUCCAACUCCAGCCCGGUUCCAGCCCAGUUCCAGCCCGAUUCCAACCCAGCUCCGGCCCGGCUCCGGUUCUCCACCACGCCUCUCUGUCGACGCGACUGAGCAGCUUCGCAGGAAAAUCCCAGAAACCUUUGCAAAAAGCUUACAAUGAAAUUUAAGAAGUUCUACGAUUUCGGCGCCAUUUUCGAGUGGAGUGAGAGGUUGUUUAGUUUUUUCCAGUGUGAAACUCGACAUUGGAAAAGUUUGGCUCCAAGGGUGACCAUCGACUUUUUUCUCCACUGUUCCAUGUCCAUGUAAAAGUGACUUGUAAUAUAGCCAAGAAAAGAUGGAAAUUUUUCGUUUCAACUUAAG
This 467-nucleotide small RNA is filed under the name Rattus norvegicus (Norway rat). RNAcentral describes it as "uncharacterized LOC102550366". The record is from RNAcentral. Lineage: Eukaryota; Metazoa; Chordata; Mammalia; Rodentia; Muridae.